AUUGAACGCUGGCGGCAUGCUUUACACAUGCAAGUCGAACGGCAGCGCGGGCUUCGGCCUUGCGGCGAGUGGCGAACGGGUGAGUAAUGCAUCGGAACGUGCCCGGUAGUGGGGGAUAGCCCGGCGAAAGCCGGAUUAAUACCGCAUACGACCUGAGGGUGAAAGCGGGGGACCGAAAGGCCUCGCGCUAUUGGAGCGGCCGAGGUCGGAUUAGCUAGUUGGUGGGGUAAAGGCUUACCAAGGCGACGAUCCGUAGCUGGUCUGAGAGGACGACCAGCCACACUGGGACUGAGACACGGCCCAGACUCCUACGGGAGGCAGCAGUGGGGAAUUUUGGACAAUGGGGGAAACCCUGAUCCAGCCAUGCCGCGUGUGGGAAGAAGGCCUUCGGGUUGUAAAGCGCUUUUGUUCGGGAAGAAAUCCUGUGGGCUAAUACCCCGGGGGGAUGACGGUACCGGUAGAAUAAGCACCGGCUAACUACGUG
RNAcentral lists this ribosomal RNA (484 nucleotides) under uncultured bacterium. Its description in RNAcentral is "partial 16S ribosomal RNA". It matches the Rfam family "Bacterial small subunit ribosomal RNA", at positions 28 to 507 of the family's 1533-position model. The record is from RNAcentral.